Arvicola amphibius (Eurasian water vole) is the source of this 1160-nucleotide long non-coding RNA. RefSeq lists it as uncharacterized. The transcript has 5 exons. Lineage: Eukaryota; Metazoa; Chordata; Mammalia; Rodentia; Cricetidae. The record is from RefSeq and is a predicted model, not a curated record.
AUUAAAAAAAAAAAAAACAAUUUUGUGUGACAGUUUUAAGUGUAUGUCUACAUAUCUUCACUGUACCUAUAAUGGCAAUUAGAUAUUAAUGUAUCAAGUAGGUGCGCAAGUAACUCUGUAAAGGAAUGGAUUCAGAACCUGAUAAAACCAGAAAUUAUCACUGUUUAUCACAUGGACAUGAAAAAGAUGGACGUGAAGAAGACCAAAGGAGCACAUUGGCUAGAGAGGCUGCGAAGUCCACCACCUUCCCAAUGCUCCAUCGGAGGCAGAAGAACAUGGCUUUGCUCUUUUCUUUGCUCCCCUUUGGGAGAUUGUCUUCACAGGUCACCUCCUAGACAAGAACAGUUUUGCUCUCAGGGAAGCAUGCCUAACGGGGAAUGUUGGGAACAUCUAGAGCAACCGUAGGAACUAACAGUGAGAGCAAUGCCUAGCUCAGCAAAAAGGAACUCAGAUGUGCUGAAGGUCAGCGGGUGUGUUAUAGAUGAAGACCUUCAAAGAGAUCUGCUGGAAGCCUCAGCUCUGGCCCACUUCAUCAUCACCAGUGCUGCUCCCACAGGAAAGCAACAAGAGUGCAAAUGGGAGACAGGAAAAGGAAAACUUACAGACUCUAAAACUAUGUCUGGGAUCAAACACAAGCCAACAGGAAGACGAAGCAGGAGGUUUGCGAGUUUGUGAAUUUAAGAAGUCUGGGAGACCCAGUGUCUAAAUAAACAAGGUCUCCCCAUGUAACCUUGGCUGGCCUGAAACUCACGGAGUCCCACCUGCCCUGAUAGGAUUACAGAAGUACACUGCAUGCCCAGGUUUACUGUUCUGGCCAUCAGCCUACACAAACUACACAGGACAGCUCUAGAUCCUUAAGUCACUACACUAGUGACUUUCAUGUAAGAACCUGAAAUCCACAGACAGGAGUAUCUACAGUCUCAAACAGAAUGUUCACCUGCCAUCGAGUUCUCUUUACUUCGAGUGCUUUGAAGUGCACACAAACUUCAGUCUCUGCUGAGAGCAAUCAGCUGAACAAAGUACUGCAAUGUGAAGGCAUGUAUCUCAAACCCUUGACUGGUGCACAGCGCACAUCGCAAGUGAUGCGGUCAAUCACUAUCCAUUUUAAGAUCGUUAUAGGUCGGGCUCUUUUCAUCCAUUGAUUAAAAUGCAGAGAAUAA